Molecule: unclassified non-coding RNA, 542 nt
Filed under: Lodderomyces parapsilosis
Lineage: Eukaryota; Fungi; Ascomycota; Pichiomycetes; Serinales; Debaryomycetaceae
Description: Candida parapsilosis sequence contains 18S rRNA gene, ITS1, 5.8S rRNA gene, ITS2, 28S rRNA gene
Rfam family: 5.8S ribosomal RNA (bases 206-359)
Source: RNAcentral
UGAAAGUAAAAGUCGUAACAAGGUUUCCGUAGGUGAACCUGCGGAAGGAUCAUUACAGAAUGAAAAGUGCUUAACUGCAUUUUUUCUUACACAUGUGUUUUUCUUUUUUUGAAAACUUUGCUUUGGUAGGCCUUCUAUAUGGGGCCUGCCAGAGAUUAAACUCAACCAAAUUUUAUUUAAUGUCAACCGAUUAUUUAAUAGUCAAAACUUUCAACAACGGAUCUCUUGGUUCUCGCAUCGAUGAAGAACGCAGCGAAAUGCGAUAAGUAAUAUGAAUUGCAGAUAUUCGUGAAUCAUCGAAUCUUUGAACGCACAUUGCGCCCUUUGGUAUUCCAAAGGGCAUGCCUGUUUGAGCGUCAUUUCUCCCUCAAACCCUCGGGUUUGGUGUUGAGCGAUACGCUGGGUUUGCUUGAAAGAAAGGCGGAGUAUAAACUAAUGGAUAGGUUUUUUCCACUCAUUGGUACAAACUCCAAAACUUCUUCCAAAUUCGACCUCAAAUCAGGUAGGACUACCCGCUGAACUUAAGCAUAUCAAUAAGCGGA